RNAcentral lists this ribosomal RNA (252 nucleotides) under uncultured bacterium. Its description in RNAcentral is "partial 16S ribosomal RNA". It matches the Rfam family "Bacterial small subunit ribosomal RNA", at positions 524 to 776 of the family's 1533-position model. The record is from RNAcentral.
UACGAAGGGGCUAGCGUUACUCGGAUUGACUGGGCGUAAAGGGCGCGUAGGCGGCUUGUACAGUCAUACGUGAAAUUCCUGGGCUCAACCUGGGGGCUGCGUUUGAUACGUAUGGGCUUGAGUUCGGAAGAGGGUCGUGGAAUUCCCAGUGUAGAGGUGAAAUUCGUAGAUAUUGGGAAGAACACCGGUGGCGAAGGCGGCGACCUGGUCCGAUACUGACGCUGAGGCGCGAAAGCGUGGGGAGCAAACAGG